AGAGUUUGAUCCUGGCUCAGAUUGAACGCUGGCGGCAUGCUUUACACAUGCAAGUCGAACGGUAACAGGUCUUCGGAUGCUGACGAGUGGCGAACGGGUGAGUAAUGCAUCGGAACGUGCCCAGUCGUGGGGGAUAACGCAGCGAAAGCUGUGCUAAUACCGCAUACGAUCUAUGGAUGAAAGCGGGGGAUCGCAAGACCUCGCGCGAUUGGAGCGGCCGAUGUCAGAUUAGCUAGUUGGUGGGGUAAAGGCCCACCAAGGCGACGAUCUGUAGCUGGUCUGAGAGGACGACCAGCCACACUGGGACUGAGACACGGCCCAGACUCCUACGGGAGGCAGCAGUGGGGAAUUUUGGACAAUGGGCGCAAGCCUGAUCCAGCAAUGCCGCGUGCAGGAAGAAGGCCUUCGGGUUGUAAACUGCUUUUGUACGGAACG
Molecule: ribosomal RNA, 435 nt
Filed under: uncultured bacterium
Lineage: Bacteria
Description: bacterial SSU rRNA
Rfam family: Bacterial small subunit ribosomal RNA
Source: RNAcentral